RNAcentral lists this ribosomal RNA (379 nucleotides) under uncultured cyanobacterium. Its description in RNAcentral is "bacterial SSU rRNA". It matches the Rfam family "Bacterial small subunit ribosomal RNA", at positions 376 to 770 of the family's 1533-position model. The record is from RNAcentral. Lineage: Bacteria; Bacillati; Cyanobacteriota.
CGAAAGCCUGACGGAGCAACGCCGCGUGAGGGAUGAAGGCCUCUGGGCUGUAAACCUCUUUUCUCAAGGAAGAAGAUCUGACGGUACUUGAGGAAUAAGCCACGGCUAAUUCCGUGCCAGCAGACGCGGUAAUACGGGAGUGGCAAGCGUUAUCCGGAAUUAUUGGGCGUAAAGCGUCCGCAUGCGGCCUUGUAAGUCUGCCGUUAAAGCGUGGAGCUCAACUCCAUUUCAGCGGUGGAAACUACAAGGCUUGAGUGUGGUAAGGGCAGAGGGAAUUCCCGGUGUAGCGGUGAAAUGCGUAGAUAUCGGGAAGAACACCAGUGGCGAAAGCGCUCUGCUGGGCCAUAACUGACGCUCAUGGACGAAAGCCAGGGGAGCG